GAUGAACGCUAGCUACAGGCUUAACACAUGCAAGUCGAGGGGAAACGGCAUCGGAAGCUUGCUUUUGAUGGGCGUCGACCGGCGCACGGGUGAGUAACGCGUAUCCAACCUGCCCAUCACUUGGGAAUAACCUUGCGAAAGUAAGACUAAUGCCCAAUGACAUCCCACGAAGGCAUCCGAAUGGGAUUAAAGAUUUAUCGGUGAUGGAUGGGGAUGCGUCUGAUUAGCUUGUUGGCGGGGUGACGGCCCACCAAGGCAACGAUCAGUAGGGGUUCUGAGAGGAAGGUCCCCCACAUUGGAACUGAGACACGGUCCAAACUCCUACGGGAGGCAGCAGUGAGGAAUAUUGGUCAAUGGGCGAGAGCCUGAACCAGCCAAGUAGCGUGCAGGAUGACGGCCCUAUGGGUUGUAAACUGCUUUUAUAAGGGAAUAAAGUGGGUCACGUGUGACUUUUUGCAUGUACCUUAUGAAUAAGGACCGGCUAAUUCCGUG
RNAcentral lists this ribosomal RNA (492 nucleotides) under uncultured bacterium. RNAcentral's name for it is "partial 16S ribosomal RNA". It matches the Rfam family "Bacterial small subunit ribosomal RNA", at positions 28 to 507 of the family's 1533-position model. The record is from RNAcentral.